UCUAUAUCUAUAUCUAUAUCUAUAUCUAUAUCUAUAUCUAUAUCUAUAUCUAUAUCAUCUAUAUCUAUAUCUAUAUCUAUAUCUACUCACUAUAACUAUCUUUAAGUGGCUAAUAAAGCUGUGUGAAACUUGCUUCCCACUUGUUCUUUCAGAGAAGCUGUACAUUUUUUCUCAUCAAAACAAGAUGCUGCUGGCCAUUUCUCUGCUCUAGACUGGAAGUUAAUUCUCCUGGAGCAAUUGUGAACCAACUAAGUAUUGCAAAUAUGAUAGCUGUAAUAUAUAAUAGAUGGCUGACUGCCAGUCUUAAUACUCUUUUUGUUACUAACUGAAGUAUGUAAUUUACAUUCUAUUCUACUUUUUGCAGAAGUUGCACUCAGGUAUUUCUCAAAAGAUAUUUCCCCAUCAAGAAAUAAUUUUCUGAAUAUUAAUAAUGUUAAAAAGCCCUGCAGAACACUAGACAAGCUUUAUGGAAGGUUUAAUAACCACUUAAAAACAUAAUCUUUAGUUAAUUGUUUUAAGUAUAGGCCUGCCAAUCAAGAUACAAAAAUAUGCAUGGCUGCUAGCAAAUCACUGUAAGAAUUUUAACUUGAUGUUUGCACAAUUUGAGAGGAAAUCUGUGUUGAUACUGUGAAAGGUAGAGAAAAUUAUAGACAAAUAAUUUAAAGUUCCCUAUUUGAAAUAUGAUUUUAAAGUCAAUAUCUAUAUUCAUGACCUCAGAGCAAUGAGGAAAGGAAGUACAGGAAAAAUGCAAGAAGUUUGAUUCAGUAGAUACUUUACCUGCCAUGCAUCCUUGUGUGGGUGAGUUGUUGGCCUGGCACUGCAUAAUUCUAACAAGGAUGGUUGGGUUUUUUUCAGGAGUUGAACUUUAAUGAUUUUUAUGGGUCCCUUCCAACUCAGGAUAUUCUAUGAUUCUGCGAUUCUAUGAUUUACUUAUAGGGAUUUUAUUUAGUGGAUCCUAUAAUGGAUUUAUAAUUGAUUCAUUCUUGACUCCAUUUAUUUUCUUAAAGGAGGCUUUUGAAUGUCAGCAACAUUUGCCUGAAAUCAGGAAAGCCUGGCUUUCAGGAGCCCCAGAAAGUGAGUGGCAGAAAUCAUCUCUGUGGACACCUCUUAGAAGCAACUGUAUUCUUCUAGGACUUAAAGAAAAUGUCCUGUCAAUGUAA
This 1160-nucleotide long non-coding RNA is filed under the name Cyanistes caeruleus (blue tit). Its description in RNAcentral is "lncRNA (ENSCCEG00000010462.1)". Lineage: Eukaryota; Metazoa; Chordata; Aves; Passeriformes; Paridae. The record is from RNAcentral.